ACGCUGACAGAAUGCUUAACACAUGCAAGUCUACUUGAACUUCGGUUUGGGUGGCGGACGGGUGAGUAACGCGUAAAGAACUUGCCUCACAGUUAGGGACAACAUUUGGAAACGAAUGCUAAUACCUGAUAUUAUGAUUUUAGGGCAUCCUAAGAUUAUGAAAGCUAUAUGCGCUGUGAGAGAGCUUUGCGUCCCAUUAGCUAGUUGGAGAGGUAACGGCUCACCAAGGCGAUGAUGGGUAGCCGGCCUGAGAGGGUGAACGGCCACAAGGGGACUGAGACACGGCCCUUACUCCUACGGGAGGCAGCAGUGGGGAAUAUUGGACAAUGGACCAAAAGUCUGAUCCAGCAAUUCUGUGUGCACGAUGACGUUUUUCGGAAUGUAAAGUGCUUUCAGUUGGGAAGAAAAAAAUGACGGUACCAACAGAAGAAGUGACGGCUAAAUACGUGCCAGCAGCCGCGGUAAUACGUAUGUCACAAGCGUUAUCCGGAUUUAUUGGGCGUAAAGCGCGUCUAGGUGGUUAUGUAAGUCUGAUGUGAAAAUGCAGGGCUCAACUCUGUAUUGCGUUGGAAACUGCAUGACUAGAGUACUGGAGAGGUAAGCGGAACUACAAGUGUAGAGGUGAAAUUCGUAGAUAUUUGUAGGAAUGCCGAUGGGGAAGCCAGCUUACUGGACAGAUACUGACGCUAAAGCGCGAAAGCGUGGGUAGCAAACAGGAUUAGAUACCCUGGUAGUCCACGCCGUAAACGAUGAUUACUAGGUGUUGGGGGUCGAACCUCAGCGCCCAAGCUAACGCGAUAAGUAAUCCGCCUGGGGAGUACGUA
This 824-nucleotide ribosomal RNA is filed under the name Fusobacterium periodonticum. Its description in RNAcentral is "bacterial SSU rRNA". It matches the Rfam family "Bacterial small subunit ribosomal RNA", at positions 33 to 886 of the family's 1533-position model. The record is from RNAcentral. RNAcentral also lists the same sequence under 1 other name. Lineage: Bacteria; Fusobacteriati; Fusobacteriota; Fusobacteriia; Fusobacteriales; Fusobacteriaceae.